AGGCUGCAACUCGCCUGUAUGAAGUCGGAAUUGCUAGUAAUCGUGGAUCAGCAUGCCACGGUGAAUACGUUCCCGGGCCUUGUACACACCGCCCGUCACACCAUGAGAGCCGGGAACACCCGAAGUCCGUAGUCUAACCUAUAUGGAGGACGCGGCCGAAGGUGGGUUUGGUAAUUGGGGUGAAGUCGUAACAAGGUAUC
RNAcentral lists this ribosomal RNA (200 nucleotides) under uncultured bacterium. RNAcentral's name for it is "partial 16S ribosomal RNA". It matches the Rfam family "Bacterial small subunit ribosomal RNA", at positions 1302 to 1500 of the family's 1533-position model. The record is from RNAcentral.